RNAcentral lists this ribosomal RNA (253 nucleotides) under uncultured bacterium. RNAcentral describes it as "partial 16S ribosomal RNA". It matches the Rfam family "Bacterial small subunit ribosomal RNA", at positions 524 to 776 of the family's 1533-position model. The record is from RNAcentral.
UACGGAGGGUGCAAGCGUUAUCCGGAUUCACUGGGUUUAAAGGGUGCGUAGGCGGGCAGGUAAGUCAGUGGUGAAAUCCCCGAGCUUAACUUGGGAACUGCCGUUGAUACUAUCUGUCUUGAAUACUAUGGAGGUAAGCGGAAUAUGUCAUGUAGCGGUGAAAUGCUUAGAUAUGACAUAGAACACCAAUUGCGAAGGCAGCUUGCUACACAGUUAUUGACGCUGAGGCACGAAAGCGUGGGGAGCGAACAGG